AAGCAAAGCAGCGAUGUGGAGCAAACCCCUAAAAAAUGGUCUCAGUUCAGACUGCAGGCUGCAACCCGCCUGCAUGAAGUCGGAAUUGCUAGUAAUCGCGGAUCAGCAUGCCGCGGUGAAUACGUUUCCGGGCCUUGUACACACCGCCCGUCACACCAUGGGAGUCGGAAAUGCCCGAAGCCGGUGACCAAACCAAUAAGGAAGGAGCCGUCGAAGGCAGGUCUGAUAACUGGGGUGAAGUCGUAACAAGGUAAC
This 255-nucleotide ribosomal RNA is filed under the name uncultured bacterium. Its description in RNAcentral is "partial 16S ribosomal RNA". It matches the Rfam family "Bacterial small subunit ribosomal RNA", at positions 1247 to 1500 of the family's 1533-position model. The record is from RNAcentral.